Molecule: ribosomal RNA, 460 nt
Filed under: uncultured bacterium
Lineage: Bacteria
Description: partial 16S ribosomal RNA
Rfam family: Bacterial small subunit ribosomal RNA
Source: RNAcentral
CCUACGGGAGGCAGCAGUGAGGAAUAUUGGUCAAUGGACGAGAGUCUGAACCAGCCAAGUAGCGUGAAGGCUGACUGCCCUAUGGGUUGUAAACUUCUUUUAUAUGGGAAUAAAACGUUCCAAGUGUGGGAUUUUGUAUGUACCAUAUGAAUAAGGAUCGGCUAACUCCGUGCCAGCAGCCGCGGUAAUACGGAGGAUCCGAGCGUUAUCCGGAUUUAUUGGGUUUAAAGGGAGCGUAGGUGGAUUGUUAAGUCAGUUGUGAAAGUUUGCGGCUCAACCGUAAAAUUGCAGUUGAAACUGGCAGUCUUGAGUACAGUAGAGGUGGGCGGAAUUCGUGGUGUAGCGGUGAAAUGCUUAGAUAUCACGAAGAACUCCGAUUGCGAAGGCAGUUCACUGGACUGCAACUGACACUGAGGCUCGAAAGUGUGGGUAUCAAACAGGAGUAGAUACCCGGGUAGUC